UGCCAGACUCCUACGGGAGGCAGCAGUGGGGAAUAUUGCACAAUGGGGGAAACCCUGAUGCAGCGACGCCGCGUGAGUGAAGAAGUAUUUCGGUAUGUAAAGCUCUAUCAGCAGGGAAGAAAAUGACGGUACCUGACUAAGAAGCCCCGGCUAACUACGUGCCAGCAGCCGCGGUAAUACGUAGGGGGCAAGCGUUAUCCGGAUUUACUGGGUGUAAAGGGAGCGUAGACGGCAUGGCAAGUCAGAUGUGAAAGCCCGGGGCUCAACCCCGGGACUGCAUUUGAAACUGUCAGGCUGGAGUGCAGGAGAGGUAAGUGGAAUUCCUAGUGUAGCGGUGAAAUGCGUAGAUAUUAGGAGGAACACCGGCGGCGAAGGCGGCCUGCUGGACCGCGACUGACGUUGAGGCUCGAAAGCGUGGGGAGCGAACAGGAUUAGAUACCCCAGUA
RNAcentral lists this ribosomal RNA (446 nucleotides) under uncultured bacterium. RNAcentral describes it as "bacterial SSU rRNA". It matches the Rfam family "Bacterial small subunit ribosomal RNA", at positions 329 to 792 of the family's 1533-position model. The record is from RNAcentral.